Molecule: long non-coding RNA, 486 nt
Filed under: Olea europaea (common olive)
Lineage: Eukaryota; Viridiplantae; Streptophyta; Magnoliopsida; Lamiales; Oleaceae
Description: long non-coding RNA (OEUR_LNC013474)
Source: RNAcentral
AUUAGUAGGAGAAUACAUUUUUUGGUAGUGAUUGGCAUCUCUCUUCUCAUAAAAUUAAGGUUUGGAGUCUUGUUUGCAUUAGAUUAGUAACACUUUACACACGAGUCACUUGUACUACUUACUCCAUUUUGGCCUGAACUGAGUAAAGUCUAUGACUUAUUGAUUUGACCUUUGCAUGCUAUCAAUUGCAUUUUUGAGUUAUUGCUUGUUAUUUGCUCAGCUUGUUCUUGAUAUGAUUCCCUUCAAUAUUUGUGAUAAAAAAAAGGGGGAAGAGAAAAGUGUAACUGAGGGGGAGAAAAACAUGUAAAAAAGUAUACACAUUGGGGGAGAGCGAUUGCAGUUGCAUGUGCGCAUGAUAUCACUAAUUGACAUUACUUGCAUUUUGCAUUGCUAUGUCUAAGGGUCAUUAGGAAAAAGACAUAGAUACAUUAAUUUACUGCAUUACAUUCAUGAAAGCAUGCAGUAAGCUGAAACGUUGUAUUGCAU